AUGCCAUUCCAGGAUUGUAUUGGGGAAAUAGAUGGUACUCAUGUCACUUCCCGAGUGCCGAGGUCACAAGCUGCAGCAUAUAGAAGGAGGAAACACUACACAAGCCAGACUGUGCUUGCUGCUGUUGGCUUCGAUCUGAAGUUCACAUAUGUGUUGGCUGGGUGGGAAGGAUCAUCACAUGAUGCUAACAUUCUCAAUGAUAACAUGAGUUGUCAUGGUGGAAACAACAUGCCCGAUGGCAAGUUCUACCUAGGAGAUGCUGGCUAUGCAUGUCGUCCAGGUGUUCUCCCACACUUCAGGAAAACCAGGUACCAUCUGAAUGAGUUCUCUCGUAGGAACUAUCCUAGGACUCCUCAGGAACUGUUCAAUCUCAGACCCUUCAGCCUUAGAUUAAUGGUUGAGAGGGCAUUUGAAGCUUUGAAGAAUAGGUUUAAGAUCCUGGAUCAAAAGCCAUUCCACCUUACCCUACCCAGGUCAAGCUUGUUCUUGCAUGUUGCAUCAUUCACAACUGGAUCCUGCAAUAGAGAACUGAUGAACUUAUGCCGAAGGAGGAAGAUGUGGCGCCUAAUGAGGUUAUCAGCUCCAGCCAUGGUGUGGAGGCGUUUGACAAAGAAGCUUGGAAGAACAAAAGGUUGGAGUUGGCUCAUGAAUGUGGGAUAA
Molecule: ribosomal RNA, 660 nt
Filed under: Triticum aestivum (bread wheat)
Lineage: Eukaryota; Viridiplantae; Streptophyta; Magnoliopsida; Poales; Poaceae
Description: partial small subunit ribosomal RNA
Source: RNAcentral